CAGUCGCCGCGGGAAUACGUAGGGUGCAAGCGUUAAUCGGAAUUACUGGGCGUAAAGCGUGCGCAGGCGGUUUGUCAAGACAGAUGUGAAAUCCCCGGGCUCAACCUGGGAACUGCAUUUGUGACUGGCAAGCUAGAGUAUGGUAGAGGGGGGUGGAAUUCCGCGUGUAGCAGUGAAAUGCGUAGAUAUGCGGAGGAACACCGAUGGCGAAGGCAGCCCCCUGGGCCAAUACUGACGCUCAUGCACGAAAGCGUGGGGAGCAAACAGGAUUAGAUACCCCGGUAGUCCCUGUCUCUUAUAC
This 301-nucleotide ribosomal RNA is filed under the name uncultured bacterium. RNAcentral describes it as "partial 16S ribosomal RNA". It matches the Rfam family "Bacterial small subunit ribosomal RNA", at positions 509 to 807 of the family's 1533-position model. The record is from RNAcentral.